UACGGAGGAUGCGAGCGUUAUCCGGAUUUAUUGGGUUUAAAGGGUGCGUAGGCGGAUUUUUAAGUCAGCGGUAAAAUGUCCGGGCUCAACCCGGGCCGGCCGUUGAAACUGGGGAUCUUGAGUGGGCGAGAAGUAUGCGGAAUGCGUGGUGUAGCGGUGAAAUGCAUAGAUAUCACGCAGAACUCCGAUUGCGAAGGCAGCAUACCAGCGCCCAACUGACGCUGAAGCACGAAGGCGUGGGUAUCGAACAGG
RNAcentral lists this ribosomal RNA (252 nucleotides) under uncultured bacterium. Its description in RNAcentral is "partial 16S ribosomal RNA". It matches the Rfam family "Bacterial small subunit ribosomal RNA", at positions 524 to 776 of the family's 1533-position model. The record is from RNAcentral.